This 459-nucleotide ribosomal RNA is filed under the name uncultured bacterium. Its description in RNAcentral is "bacterial SSU rRNA". It matches the Rfam family "Bacterial small subunit ribosomal RNA", at positions 29 to 533 of the family's 1533-position model. The record is from RNAcentral.
AACGAACGCUGGCGGCAGGCUUAACACAUGCAAGUCGAGCGCGUAGCAAUACGAGCGGCAGACGGGUGAGUAACGCGUGGGAAUCUACCCAACCCUACGGAAUAACGCAUGGAAACGUGUGCUAAUACCGUAUACGCCCUUAGGGGGAAAGAUUUAUCGGGGAUGGAUGAGCCCGCGUUGGAUUAGCUAGUUGGUGGGGUAAAGGCCUACCAAGGCGACGAUCCAUAGCUGGUCUGAGAGGAUGAUCAGCCACAUUGGGACUGAGACACGGCCCAAACUCCUACGGGAGGCAGCAGUGGGGAAUAUUGGACAAUGGGCGCAAGCCUGAUCCAGCCAUGCCGCGUGAGUGAUGAAGGCCUUAGGGUUGUAAAGCUCUUUUACCCGAGAUGAUAAUGACAGUAUCGGGAGAAUAAGACUCCGGCUAACUCCGUGCCAGCAGCCGCGGUAAUGUGACUACUG